Cynoglossus semilaevis (tongue sole) is the source of this 348-nucleotide long non-coding RNA. RefSeq lists it as uncharacterized. NCBI's taxonomy places the organism in Eukaryota, Metazoa, Chordata, Actinopteri, Pleuronectiformes, Cynoglossidae. The record is from RefSeq and is a predicted model, not a curated record. The transcript is spliced from 2 exons.
CUGGACAAAUCCAGUACAGACAAGAAUAACUACAGCCAGAACAAUUAGUAGUGUUAUUGCAUUUACUUUAUUUGUCUUUGCAGAUAUAAGGGAGGAAGAGAAGGACAUUGGGGCCAAAAGAGGUUUAACCAAGUUGUUCCACUCUGUUGAAUCCUGUGAGCACAUGUGAUUGACAGUAGUGUUGUGAGUAUGUGAUCUGUCCAUCUGAAAUGUUAAACUAAAGCUAAGUUAAUGUUGUAAUUUGACAUGUAUUGUUUUUAAAUGUGUAUCUAUGGACUUUGUGAUUGGAUGCAUGUCUUGUAAAUGAAGUGUUUUGCUAUUAAAAGACUCGAACCUUCUUCUUCCGUA